This 1258-nucleotide non-coding RNA is filed under the name Anoxybacillus flavithermus. RNAcentral's name for it is "bacterial LSU rRNA". It matches the Rfam family "Bacterial large subunit ribosomal RNA", at positions 291 to 1548 of the family's 2925-position model. The record is from RNAcentral. Lineage: Bacteria; Bacillati; Bacillota; Bacilli; Caryophanales; Anoxybacillaceae.
CUUGGGGUUGUAGGACACUCAAUACGGAGUGACAAAGGAACGGAGUAGAUGAAGCGGUCUGGAAAGGCCCGCCAGAGAAGGCAACAGCCCUGUAGUCGAAACUUCGUUCCCUCCUGAGUGGAUCCUGAGUACGGCGGGACACGAGGAAUCCCGUCGGAAGCAGGGAGGACCAUCUCCCAAGGCUAAAUACUCCCUAGUGACCGAUAGUGAACCAGUACCGUGAGGAAAGGUGAAAAGCACCCCGGGAGGGGAGUGAAAGAGAACCUGAAACCGUGUGCCUACAAGUAGUCAGAGCCCGUUUAUGGGUGAUGGCGUGCCUUUUGUAGAAUGAACCGGCGAGUUACGAUCUCGUGCGAGGUUAAGUCGAAAAGACGGAGCCGUAGCGAAAGCGAGUCUGAAUAGGGCGUAUAGUACGAGGUCGUAGACCCGAAACCAGGUGAUCUACCCAUGUCCAGGGUGAAGGUAGGGUAAUACCUACUGGAGGCCCGAACCCACGCACGUUGAAAAGUGCGGGGAUGAGGUGUGGGUAGGGGUGAAAUGCCAAUCGAACUUGGAGAUAGCUGGUUCUCCCCGAAAUAGCUUUAGGGCUAGCCUCGAGUGAAGAGUCUUGGAGGUAGAGCACUGAUUGGGCUAGGGGCCUCAUCGGGUUACCGAACUCAGUCAAACUCCGAAUGCCAAUGACUUAUACUCGGGAGUCAGACUACGAGUGAUAAGAUCCGUGGUCAAGAGGGAAACAGCCCAGAUCACCAGCUAAGGUCCCAAAGUAUACGUUAAGUGGAAAAGGAUGUGGAGUUGCUUAGACAACCAGGAUGUUGGCUUAGAAGCAGCCACCAUUUAAAGAGUGCGUAAUAGCUCACUGGUCGAGUGACUCUGCGCCGAAAAUGUACCGGGGCUAAACGUAUCACCGAAGCUGUGGGACGACUUGCGUCGUCGGUAGGGGAGCGUUCUAAGGGCGUCGAAGCUAGACCGGAAGGACUAGUGGAGCGCUUAGAAGUGAGAAUGCCGGUGUGAGUAGCGAAAACAGAGGUGAGAAUCCUCUGCACCGAAAGCCUAAGGUUUCCUGAGGAAGGCUCGUCCGCUCAGGGUUAGUCGGGACCUAAGCCGAGGCCGAAAGGCGUAGGCGAUGGACAACAGGUUGAUAUUCCUGUACCACCUCCUCACCGUUUGAGCAAUGGGGGGACGCAGGAGGAUAGGGUCAGCGCGCGACUGGUUGUGCGCGUCCAAGCAGUUAGGCGCCUCAAGUAGGCAAAUCCGCUUG